This 593-nucleotide long non-coding RNA is filed under the name Mustela putorius furo (domestic ferret). RNAcentral's name for it is "lncRNA (ENSMPUG00000028347.1)". The record is from RNAcentral. Lineage: Eukaryota; Metazoa; Chordata; Mammalia; Carnivora; Mustelidae.
AAAAGAAAUAACUAGUAAUGGUUCCUUAAUAAUACAUUUAUUCAAAACUGUCUAGACUCUUUUUAAAGUCUCUGUCUAGACCAUCGCUGGAAAGUGAUGGUGGAAGGUAGUGGAAGGAGUGUUCAAGGAGGAGUUCAGAGGCAUUAUAAGCAGCAGCACAGGUAACCAAUGCAGAACGUGAGACCCUGGUUUCUCAGCUGGCUCCUUGACUGACCAAUUACUUUCUGAUUUUGAGCCAGUGGUGCUGGGUUGAGAGGAUUGAGAAAUAAAGCUGAAGAUAAAAGCAAAGCAAAGAGCCCAGGCUUCUUUGCUGACUUGGGCAGUUGCAGUGGGAAUAUCCAUGAAUUUGGUCAAAAGACAACUAGCUCCACGAUAUUCACCUCUUUGAUCUUCACUCACUUCAUUGAUAAAAUUACAAGUCACUUAUCCAGUUUCACUAAACCAAAUUUCUGCUAAUACAAAUACCAAUUUGUAUUGGUAUUUCCCAAAGAAUGGCACUUUGUAUUCUUCUCACUUGUACAGAAUCAGCUCAUUCUUCAUUAACAUUUCAGCAUAGUUCUGGCAUUUAAUAAACAUGAGUGGUUGUUUUCUUG